This 486-nucleotide ribosomal RNA is filed under the name uncultured bacterium. Its description in RNAcentral is "partial 16S ribosomal RNA". It matches the Rfam family "Bacterial small subunit ribosomal RNA", at positions 30 to 507 of the family's 1533-position model. The record is from RNAcentral.
AUUGAACGCUGGCGGCAUGCCUUACACAUGCCAGUCGAACGGCAGCACGGGUGCUUGCCCCUGGUGGCGAGUGGCGAACGGGUGAGUAAUACAUCGGAACAUGUCCUGUAGUGGGGGAUAGCCCGGCGAAAGCCGGAUUAAUACCGCAUACGAUCUACGGAUGAAAGCGGGGGACCUUCGGGCCUCGCGCUAUAGGGUUGGCCGAUGGCUGAUUAGCUAGUUGGUGGGGUAAAGGCCUACCAAGGCGACGAUCAGUAGCUGGUCUGAGAGGACGACCAGCCACACUGGGACUGAGACACGGCCCAGACUCCUACGGGAGGCAGCAGUGGGGAAUUUUGGACAAUGGGCGAAAGCCUGAUCCAGCAAUGCCGCGUGUGUGAAGAAGGCCUUCGGGUUGUAAAGCACUUUUGUCCGGAAAGAAAUACUUGGCCCUAAUACGGUCGGGGGAUGACGGUACCGGAAGAAUAAGCACCGGCUAACUACGUG